RNAcentral lists this ribosomal RNA (900 nucleotides) under Triticum aestivum (bread wheat). Its description in RNAcentral is "partial small subunit ribosomal RNA". The record is from RNAcentral. Lineage: Eukaryota; Viridiplantae; Streptophyta; Magnoliopsida; Poales; Poaceae.
AUGAUGAAACAUGUCUACAUUUUCUUGGUACUCUUUGCCUUAUGCUUAGGUAAAGUAUCUAUGACAUGGUGUCACAACACAUAUCUAAGAAGGCACAAGCAAUUAGAAAAGGGGGCAUCGUCCAGUGAGAGAAUAAUAUCGAUUGAGGCUGAAUUGCAAGAGGGCCAAAUAGUCGAACAUAUUGCAGCUUACCAAACAACACCAAAUUCUACAACAACAUUGUACGGUGCCAUGGCAACUUUAGAUGUUUAUGAGUCUCUGGCUGUCAAGGCGGGACAAAUAGUAUCAGCUGAAAUCUGGGUAGAGAAUUACCAAAAGGAGAAGCCUAAUGAUGUCAAUGUUGUACAAGUUGGAUGGAAUAUUCAACCUUCUUACUAUGGUGACAACAAAACACAUUUCUUGAUAGGAUGGACGGCUAAUGGAAACAAGACGAAGGGGUGUUUUGAUUUGAAAUGCGAUGGAUUUGUACUAGUUAAAAAUCCUCCAAUCACUCCAGGAGGCACCCUUGAGGGGAAAACUAAGAUAUCUAUCAAGAUAUUCAAGAGUAAAAGGAAUGGAGAUUGGUGGUUACACUUUGCCCAUGUUGGUGAAAAGUUUGCUCCGGUGGGGUUUUGGCCACGGAGUCUUUUCCAAAGCUUGUCCGAUCAUGCAAAUUAUGUUACUUGGGGCGGCUACACUAGCUCUCUUGUGAGGACCCCCAGCCCUCCUAUGGGCAAUGGGCGCUGGCCGGGAGGAGACUCUGCUUCAUUUCAAAAUGUGCAAUAUGUGAACAAUGACGGGCAUGGUUAUCUUCCAAUGCCUAACCUUCAUUCUAGGGUAACCGAUACGGCAUGUUAUCGAGUUAGUGAAUUCAUGACUGACAAGUUCAGCUAUGGAGGACCUGGUGGAUGUGUUAAUUAG